GAUAGAGCUAACACAGCAGCAGUAGCUGGGCAGAGGGAGAAGAGAGACCUCCUGGCCAAUCAUAGAGAGUCCCCGCCCCCUGCAAAGCACUGCUGGGAAGAAGAUUGGUGGCGUGCAUGUGGGCCGAGAGCUCUGCAGGGUGAGAGCAGAGGCAGCAGAGCCAGCCAGCCCACAGCAAAGUAACAUUGGACAGAGGGGGAGCAAAGUACUACCACGUUCCACAGUCACAUACACACGCUGCUGGGGAGAGAGAGGAAACCUCUGUUCCAGCACUGCAAGACCACACCUGACAAUUUGAUUUAACCUACCUGUGGAAGAACAAGAGGAUGGAUAGCAAGGUCUGGUCGAUGUUGCUGUUGCAGAUGCCCUCAUUCAGGAGAUAGCAGGGGUCCCUCACUACAGGUUCUAGAGAGUCCUGCCUCAUGAUGGUGUUGAGCUUAUCAGUGUUGAAGUUCUCGAAGACCAACUUCUUCCGUAGCUGGCGAAAAUUGCUUACGGUUGGACUGCCAAGGUUGUUAUUCUGUCCGCUGCCUUCAUCCAUCUCACUCUUGUUAGCUAAGUCCAAACAGCAGCUGCAGCAAUCCAGACCGAUGGGUGAACGGCAGCCUUCUUCCUCUGACAUGUCUCUGGAACUCUCUCUGACACACUCAGUGCUACUCCAAAGACGGAUGACAGUAAACUCUGGACUUAAGGCUGUGAUGGAAAAUCUGAAGAAAUAAAGUUUCCACUUGCUGUUUUCUGUAUAAAUAGUCUAAUUUGUCUCCAGGUCUGAUAAAAAAAACAAGAUCAACUUCCUUGUCUAGGUUUGGCAGUAAAGUUGUUCUGCUUAGCAGAGCAGGAGAAAGAUCCAGCAGUUGCUUAUCUGCUCAGUUGAAUGUGCACAUUCUGUAUACACACCUCUCUGUGCAGAAACCGGGAAGAGAUUCUCUCUUUAAUAGGCACAUCCAAGUAGUGAGAGGCUGAAAUGCAGUCCUCUGACUCCCCCAGAGGCAGUGCUACAGUGAAAGGACUUUACAUAAGAGGACACAAGUGAGUGCAGAUUGGGACAGACUCAUGUGUGUUUUACGAUAGGAGGGGAAAAAAAACGAAAGACAUGUGUAAAGAAGGACUUGAAGAUUUGUAGUACAAAAGCGAUCCUUCCCAGGAAUGUAUCAUUAGCAGUUCUUGUGUUGCUGACUAGGCAGCAUUUCUUUCUGACAAAAAACCCCCAUCAAACAUAUCAAAAAUAUUGCCAAACAAAAGUAUCUCUGACAGGUGGGAUGGCUCAGAAUGUGUACCUGUAGUUUAUUAGCAUAAAGGAAGCCUUUGAAAAACUAUUGGAGCUAUCUGCUAUCAAGCCCCUGAAAUUUGUGGACGAUGCCACGUUUUUUGGUCUCAUCUGGUUCUCGCGGCGCAACGGGACCCGAGGCUUGAUCGGGUUGCCCAGCAACCAUGACGUCACGAACAAAGCGACUUGCUGACGCACCCAGAAACCGACGGCCCGGGACCCCGCGUGAUACCGCACGCUGCACAUACACAGGUAUUUAA
Molecule: long non-coding RNA, 1527 nt
Organism: Pseudophryne corroboree (corroboree frog)
Lineage: Eukaryota; Metazoa; Chordata; Amphibia; Anura; Myobatrachidae
Exons: 4
Source: RefSeq, a predicted model, not a curated record